RNAcentral lists this ribosomal RNA (468 nucleotides) under uncultured bacterium. RNAcentral describes it as "partial 16S ribosomal RNA". It matches the Rfam family "Bacterial small subunit ribosomal RNA", at positions 28 to 507 of the family's 1533-position model. The record is from RNAcentral.
GACGAACGCUGGCGGCGUGCUUAACACAUGCAAGUCGAACGGAAAGGCCCUGCUUUUGUGGGGUGCUCGAGGGGCGAACGGGUGAGUAACACGUGAGUAACCUGCCCUUGACUUUGGGAUAACUUCAGGAAACUGGGGCUAAUACCGGAUAGGAGCUCCUGCUGCAUGGUGGGGGUUGGAAAGUUUCGGCGGGUGGGGAUGGACUGGCGGCUGAUCAGCUUGUUGGUGGGGUAGUGGCUUACCAAGGCUGUGGCGGGUAGCCGGCCGGAGAGGGUGACCGGCCACAUUGGGACUGAGAUACGGCCCAGACUCCUACGGGAGGCAGCAGUGGGGAAUAUUGCACAAUGGGCGGACGCCUGAUGCAGCAACGCCGCGUGCGGGAUGACGGCCUUCGGGUUGUAAACCGCUUUCGCCUGUGACGAAGCGUGAGUGACGGUACUGGGUAAAGAAGCACCGGCUAACUACGUG